UACAGAGGUCUCGAGCGUUAGGCGGAAUCACUGGGCUUAAAGCGUGUGUAGGUGGAUGCCUAAGUACCUUGUGAAAUCCCACAGCUUAACUGUGGAACUGCUUGGUAUACUGGGUGUCUUGAGUCACUCAGGGGCGAGCGGAACAAGUGGUGGAGCGGUGAAAUGCGUAGAUAUCAUUUGGAACGCCAAUGGUGAAAACAGCUCGCUGGGGGUGCACUGACACUGAGACACGAAAGCCAGGGGAGCGAACGGG
Molecule: ribosomal RNA, 253 nt
Filed under: uncultured bacterium
Lineage: Bacteria
Description: partial 16S ribosomal RNA
Rfam family: Bacterial small subunit ribosomal RNA
Source: RNAcentral